UCCGGGGAUGGGAACGGGCUCUGGCCCCCUCGCCCGCUCUGAGGCUUCUUUGGGGCUGUUUUUUUGGGGGGAGGGGGUAUAUAAAUCUGUGCUGAACGUUUGCGGUUGAAUGCCAGGAGUCCGACGUUCAGCUCCGUCGGAUACCACAGGCACACACACACCCGAGGGGUGGGGGGAAGGAGAAGAGGGAGGCAGUCAUCAGGCCCCCUUUCUUCCCUUCUUACCCCCUCCCUCCAAAAAGCCCUUUUGAGCAUCUUGCCAUCAGGAAAGCGCUCACUCCCUCAUCAAGCCAUUUAUUUCAUCCAAUAAGACUAUCCAUCAUGGUACGCUGGAACCGACCUACGAUCCGAGGAUAUUCUUAGAUACGCAGCAUGUCAGGAAACGGCUAGCAGCCUCGCAUGAUGCAAAUAUUUGGAUGACCGAGAGGAAAGCAUCUAGGAAAGCAUGAAAACGCAGUGCUCAGACUUCACAAGUGUGUCAUAGCACUGGGGAAAUCCUUGGUGAAAGCUGCCUGGGAACUGUCAUUUCAGAGAUGGCGUGGAAGGUGUCAAGAAAGAAAGAAAGCAAAGAAAAAGAAGACUAACAGAAAAAUCUGUCACCUCCUAAAUCAGAGUGACAACUUCAGCACAGUGUUUACUCAUGGCAGUAAAAAUAAAUUGUCUGAGACUGAUUGUACCCACAUGCCACUCGCUACGCAACAGGGAUGUCCCCCGGUAUCGGAAACCAGAUGUGAGGAAACACAUGACAAUGGCAAUAGUCGUCAGCGUGGCAGCGGCAGUGACAGGGCUGCUUUCCUUCCAGUUGUAAUAAGUGAAAACAGCGAGAGGGAAGAGCGAUGUGUCACUGCUUCCCGCCACACCAAUGCACUUGCGUGGAGAGGGAAGAGUGACUUUCAAGAGUCCCAGCAAGGCGCACGGGCGAAUGAGCAAACGGGCAAACAAGCGAUUUGAGUGUAUCUUCAAGCCUUGAUAAAAUAAGCCUGCAUAUGCACAAAGUCUCCUCCUCACUUCCUCGGGGGAAAAAUAUCUGACAGUGGGGAUCCACUCCUGAGCGUCCAGGCUGCGACCUGGGGGUCCGUGACCCCAUCCUUGGUUUUCUUCUGAAGCCCUCACCAUCUCCUCCAGCUCAGGCCAGACCUGCCAGAGCCUGAGGCAAUAGCAGAGGAACCUCCGCUUCUUAAAGUACUACUCAGAAAAGCAUCCCAGUUUGGCACUGGGACAAGACGAGAGCGCUCUUUUCUCAUCUUGAUCGUAGUGCCCCCAAAAACCUUUCUCUCAUUUAUGGUCUUUCCAUAAGGUCUGGGUGCUCAAAGAUGUUCCAAGACACUUGUGGAGCAUCCUGAGUUGUACAUGGGCUGGGCUAGUCCUCACAGGACACUUUCUGUCCCUGCAAGAACUGCUGUCCCUUGACAGGACUGAGCCCUCCACAGACUUUCCGUGCAGCAAGUUCGUCCUCUUUGGUCUUUGGAAAAGGUCUUGCAGUGGUGCAGCCCCUUGAGGAAUGACUAAUUUUGGUGGAAUCAAUCUACCUAGAAAGCUUUUAAUUCUGAAGUAAUUCUUUGCUCAGGGCUAUUGUGGCAUCAGUUACUUUGUGCCUUGCUGCAGUUUCACUGCAGGAGGGAGUGAACAAGCCCCAUCCCUUGUUUAAACUUGCAUAAGGUGACAUAAUGGCAGGGUGGAGGGGAACAAAAACCUCAGCACAGUAAUGUACAGGACCGGGUAUCAUAGUCCCCAGCAGAAGGAGGGUCUCUUCGCUUGCCAGAGCUGGUCACUUCACCUGGUGGCACAGCCAGCAUUGGUGCAGGCUGAGUCGGCAGGGGCUGGGGUUACUCUGUGGCCAGGGUGUAGCAGGGACAAAGAGACAGGGGAGUUCCCCAAGACUCCCACUGCCUGUUGUUCCCACAGCUGUCCAUCUGCACAGCUGGAGACCUCCGGGGGUGAGUGACACCAGGGUUUGGCCAUGAACGGUUUGGGGGAAGGGGAGGGAGCACAGGCAGAGCAAUACAGACACAGACUUAUCUCACCAGGGCUGUUAAAGAAAAGCAGGAGAGAAACCCUUUGAAGGACAGUUUGGAGCAAGAGAGAAUGGUACAAAUGUUCCGAUUGCAACAUGUGACAGAUUUCAGGACAUCUUGAUGACACAGGUAUAUCCAGAGUAAAUUCUCUGCAUAUUCCAGUUGCUCACUGGACAUAUGACUUGAAUUCGUCUUGUGGCAACUUGCACAGAAAAUUGAGUAGUUCUGCAAGGUGAGAGGAACAGCAUCUGCAAGCUGGAGGUUUUCUUGCUCUCUGGGAAGGUGCAUCGUCAGCUGGAGCUUUUCUUGUAGUCGGGAUGUGUACGCACAGCCUCCGUGAUGCAAAUAUCCUGGGGUCAGCACUGAGACGAAUCUGACAUAGUGGCCCAGAUCUUCCAGAUGUGUAAAAUGUCAUGACUUCAUGCCUUUCAGCAGAGCAUCAAUCCAGCUAGAAAUGUGCUCGAUUAUCUUUCUGAGUUGCCUGGCCCAGCUACACCUCAGCAUACAAAGACUGUCAGGUAGCAUCCUCUACCUCACUCAGAGGAGGGCUGCACAGUCACUAGCACCUAAAGGUAUGUCUGGCAUGCAGCGUUUUUAAUCAAAACAAGCAAUAUGAAAAGGUAAAGAUGAUAGCAUUGCUGUUAUAAUUGUAAUGAGUCACAAAUGCUGUUCUGAUGGUUUUCUUUGAAAGAAGCACACAAAACCCAACUGAUUUAGUUAAAGAUCUCCCAGUCUUUGUAAUCAGCAUGGCCACAAAUGAAGGCAAGCCUACU
This is a long non-coding RNA of Struthio camelus australis, 2787 nucleotides long. RefSeq lists it as uncharacterized. Lineage: Eukaryota; Metazoa; Chordata; Aves; Struthioniformes; Struthionidae. The record is from RefSeq and is a predicted model, not a curated record.